GCUGAGAGGCGACGCACACUGGACUGAGACACGGCCCAGACUCCUACGGGAGGCAGCAGUGGGGAAUAUUGCACAAUGGGCGAAAGCUGAUGCAGCGACGCCGCGUGGGGGAUGACGGCCUUCGGGUNGUAAACCUCUUUCAGUAGGGAAGAAGCGAAAGUGACGGUACCUGCAGAAGAAGCGCCGGCUAACUACGUGCCAGCAGCCGCGGUAAUACGUAGGGCGCAAGCGUUGUCCGGAAUUAUUGGGCGUAAAGAGCUCGUAGGUGGCUUGUCGCGUCUGCCGUGAAAACCCGAGGCUCAACCUCGGGCGUGCGGUGGGUACGGGCAGGCUAGAGUGUGGUAGGGGAGACUGGAACUCCUGGUGUAGCGGUGAAAUGCGCAGAUAUCAGGAAGAACACCGAUGGCGAAGGCAGGUCUCUGGGCCAUUACUGACACUGAGGAGCGAAAGCAUGGGUAGCGAACAGGAUUAGAUACCCUGGUAGUCCAUGCCGUAAACGUUGGGCACUAGAUGUGGGGGACAUUCCACGUUUUCCGCGUCGUAGCUAACGCAUUAAGUGCCCCGCCUGGGGAGUACGGCCGCAAGGCUAAAACUCAAAGGAAUUGACGGGGGCCCGCACAAGCGGCGGAGCAUGCUGAUUAAUUCGAUGCAACGCGAAGAACCUUACCAAGGCUUGACAUGCACCGGACGGCCGCAGAGAUGUGGCUUUCUUCGGACUGGUGCACAGGUGGUGCAUGGUUGUCGUCAGCUCGUGUCGUGAGAUGUUGGGUUAAGUCCCGCAACGAGCGCAACCCUUGUUCUAUGUUGCCAGCACGUCAUGGUGGGGACUCAUAGGAGACUGCCGGGGUCAACUCGGAGGAAGGUGGGGACGACGUCAAAUCAUCAUGCCCCUUAUGUCUUGGGCUUCAAGCAUGCUACAAUGGUCGGUACAAUGGGUUGCGAAACUGUGAGGUGGAGCGAAUCCCAAAAAGCCGGCCUCAGUUCGGAUUGGGGUCUGCAACUCGACCCCAUGAAGUCGGAGUCGCUAGUAAUCGCAGAUCAGAACG
This 1046-nucleotide ribosomal RNA is filed under the name uncultured bacterium. RNAcentral describes it as "bacterial SSU rRNA". It matches the Rfam family "Bacterial small subunit ribosomal RNA", at positions 291 to 1356 of the family's 1533-position model. The record is from RNAcentral.